CUCCUUCCAGCCACCUCUCUUUAAGACUUUAGUCCCUGUCUUAUCAUGCGCCUGUCCAGUUAAGUUGUAGAGAGUGUGGGUGCUGUGAUAAACUCAGCCUCCACAAACAGGUAUGACACACACACACACAAUACACACACUCAGCCCACACACUCUAGUUGAAUCAACAUUGUUUUCACGGAAUUUCAAUUAAAUUACGUUGAACUAAUAUGGAAUAGAUAUUGAAUUGACGUACUGUAUGUGCCCAGUGGGACAGAUAGAAAGAGAGAUGACCUAAUCUUGGUUGUUAAACUUGACAAAAACAUUUUUUUUUAUUAGAUGUUACAUUUCAUAUCAACUACUCAUGUUGAAUUUGUCUAAUUUAUGUAUUUCAGGCUGGUAUGUCGGGGUGGCCUGCUUUCAUAGAGUUUGGGUGCUGUGAGAAACUCAACCUCCACAAACAGGCUGGUGUAUUGGGGCGACCUGUUCUGUCCUCAGUAUUUCAGACCAAAGCAAGACAAUUUUAAAGAUAUAGAUCUACAGACAGUAUCACACUACCCGGCAAUACAUGGAUGUGUGCACUGCACUCAUUCAAAAGUACUCCUCGUUAAGAGACCAGACAGGGAAGGGAUAUGUAAGAAUUGUUACAUUUUCCUACUCACAUUAAUUCACACACUAGUAACCGUUUUACACCAUUGUGCCUACCCAGAUCAUGAUGUGCUAGCUUGGAUAUAUUCUUCUCACAUUGUUAAACCAUCACAUUUCCAGCAGCAUAACAAGACCAUCUCUAGUUAUGUAAUUGACUAAGUCUGCUUGUCUGACAUCGGUCCUAAUAUUCCGCCAUUACAUUUGUCAUGUACCCUUUACAGCAUGCAGCCGUUCUAAUUCUAUUGAUUCUAAUCCAGCCUUUUUAUUUCACAACCUCCAAUUGAAGUUCUCAAAGUCACUGCAGCCACCCCCCACCACCACCUCAAAGAUAAUCCAAGUGGGCUGAAUGUCACAGACAGUACAAAGUUAGUCGUUAUAGAGUCUAAGGUGUGCUCAGUUGUUAACUUACGGUUUGAAAUAUGACUUCAGUAACCUUUAUUAUAUAUAUUUUUCAUUCCAUCACCUACCGUACCAUAAGGAUAGAGGGGAAUCCCUUUGGAAUGAGAACCACAUCCAACUCUUCUGGAUGGACAGGAGCUACUAACUGAAGAGCCGGAGGACAUUUCCAUGGGAUUGGGAAUGGCAAUGGAGAUCCAUUUCCUUUUUAACUACAGCUAAUGUCAGGGUUAAUUCUACAAGAGAAAAGCUGCUAAAUAGAUAGUUGAAAAUAAAAAGAAGAGAAAUGUAAUGUUUGGGAAAGAACAGUGCAAGAAAUUCUUAAUUCUGCAGGAGUUAUUAUUAAGGCUAUGUGAAAGGAUAUAGGCAUACAGUCUGUGUCCAGACUUCUGUUAUCCUUUAACCCAUCUGAACAGUAUGUUACAGUUCCCUUGACGUGCCAUAGGACUAUUUGAAGUCCCAGUCAGUUGACUGUUGAAUUUCUAUAGCGCAGGAGCUCUUCGGAGCACUCUAAAUUGUUAAAACAUUUGUGUGGCGCAUGGCGAAAUAGUACAGAGCUCAAUUUGGCCUCUGCAUGCCUUCAGAGGCUCCGCAAUUGCAUCAAACCCUCCAUAUGAAGCCUCCGAACACAUUUUCAGAUCAAGCAUUGAUUGGCUUUUAGUCGAAAGUACAGUAAUGGAUGUUACCCAUAUGUGCUGAGUCCAUAAAACACGCUACAUGGUCAAUCCAACGUCUGUAUUUGCCUUGCAGCAUUUACGGUGAUAUGGCCACUCCAGAGGUCAGGGCAUUUCUACUCCUUGCCUUCACGGAGCAGCGCAAAGCUGUUGUAAAGGAAGUGAGCUUUUGUUUAUACAGGACCUUCCUUCCCCACAUACCGUCACCCAAUCAUGUCAAUGUGGAGCUAUACGGUUUAGAUAAACGUCAUAUUAUAUUUGUGUAUAAUUUGCCUAUGGACAAAGUUGUUUUUAUUGAUCCAUAUUUAUUCGACAAAAGCAAUGUAAAAAACAAAUCAUUGUGACAUGUUUAAUUAAAACAUGUAUAAGAGACUUUUUUUAAAGAUCGACAACAUUUUUAUCUGUUCGACGGGUGGAUUUUUCUUUUGUCUAACUUUCUUCAUUGUGACAUAUGCUAAUGUUAAUGGUGUAUAUUUUAUAUAAAUGUCGAUUGCCGAAUGUGCGUGGGGCACAUGAUGUCACGAGUAACUAUAAAACCCCAUUUAAUAUUUAUUUCUAAAUGCCUACUGCUUGCAACAGAACAUUUUCAACUAUAAAAAUAA
Oncorhynchus gorbuscha (pink salmon) is the source of this 2299-nucleotide long non-coding RNA. RefSeq lists it as uncharacterized. The record is from RefSeq and is a predicted model, not a curated record. Lineage: Eukaryota; Metazoa; Chordata; Actinopteri; Salmoniformes; Salmonidae. The transcript is spliced from 3 exons.